GGUGUUUCCAGGGUCCUGUGGGCUAAGUGACUCAUCACCCACAGAGCCCCAGAGGCCGGCUGUUUGCAGCUGGAACUGGGUCUCCUGAGAUCCAGAGCAAUGGAGGGCAGUACCCUCGGCCCUGUGUCAGGUCACAAAGGAGUUCUGGAGUUGGAUGGUGGUGAUGGCUGCACAACAGUGGGAACGUCCUUAAUACCAUUGAACCACACGCUUAAAACGGGCUACCAUGUGGCUGGAACACAGACAUGUCUGAGGGGCUCACUGCCCUCUCUCACCAACCAUGGCUACCAGAGUGACCAAUAAAGGGGCCUGGGCAACGGUUCCCUCAGACCAUCCUUCCCUGCUCCGAACCCUUCACCGCCCUGCCCAGCUCCAAGAUGUCUCCACCUGCAGCCUCGCCUCCCUUCUCCUCCAGCCUCGCCUCCCUCCUCCUGCAACCUCCCUUCCCUCCACCUCCAACCCCGCCUCCC
Molecule: long non-coding RNA, 470 nt
Filed under: Homo sapiens (human)
Lineage: Eukaryota; Metazoa; Chordata; Mammalia; Primates; Hominidae
Description: HSALNT0122405
Source: RNAcentral